GAAUUUUCUGUCACGUGACACAGAGCACAGAGCAGAAGCUACAGCUCGGCGUUUGUUUAUACGUUUUAUUUUUAAUUUUUUGGGGAAAUAAAAACACUUUUACACGGUCCACAAAUCUGUGGUUUAUUCAACCAGAGGAAACUAAACGUCCAGCAGUGAAGGUUGCCGGUUCAUCUACGACACAUGCAGAUAGAACAGCUGGAGCGGGGAUAAGCAGACGUCAUGCUUACAUUAUAUCAAUCCUCUUGUCUUUAACAGGGGAAAACGUGCAGGAGGAAGGGACGGCCAGGGCUGAAGGACAUUUCUUCCGUUCUCCUCCUCGAUCUCUCUCGUUCCUGUGGAUGUUUAGGAGGGGUCUGAGCUCUUCAGUGCGCCCACCUUCGUCUCCAGGUACCCUCUACCCGUCAAAGUCCCGGACCAGCACUGACCCCGCCGACACCCGGAUCAUCCCCACACAACAGACACUUCGGACACGCCGUGAAGCGAGAUGUGUCACGUGAACAACAGCUCGAACGUGAAAGAUGACUUCAGGAGGAGAACUACAGUCAGUCCACCAAUUAAUUGAGCAA
This is a long non-coding RNA of Trichomycterus rosablanca, 569 nucleotides long. RefSeq lists it as uncharacterized. The record is from RefSeq and is a predicted model, not a curated record. Lineage: Eukaryota; Metazoa; Chordata; Actinopteri; Siluriformes; Trichomycteridae. The transcript is spliced from 6 exons.